AUGACCUCUCAGUUCUGAUUUAGGGUAUUUUUGGUGUUAUUGCUACCUUCGUCAAGGGUCAUGGUUUAAGGAAUGUGUCACGUUUCUUCAGAGAUUCCAGUCGGAAUCCAAGCCGAGAUAAUGGAUGCUCUAGGGUUUAUGAAGAAACACAAAGAUCCUCUUUAAAUGGCUUCCGGUAAGACGAUUAGGGUUCCGGCGUGCUGGACUGCCAUCUCUGUCAAAAAGGGUAACAAUCAUGUCUACCUACUUUGUUUGUUAUUUGAGUCGAUCUACCUUUUUUGUUUGUGUGUAAUACUUUCAGAUAUGUGUUAGGUUCCUCAAAGAUAGUGGUUGUGGGUGGAAGACGAUGACACAAGCCUUGGUAAUUUCAGAUCUCUAUUGACC
Molecule: long non-coding RNA, 384 nt
Organism: Helianthus annuus (common sunflower)
Lineage: Eukaryota; Viridiplantae; Streptophyta; Magnoliopsida; Asterales; Asteraceae
Exons: 3
Source: RefSeq, a predicted model, not a curated record